Long non-coding RNA from Micropterus salmoides (largemouth bass), 429 nucleotides. RefSeq lists it as uncharacterized. The transcript is spliced from 2 exons. NCBI's taxonomy places the organism in Eukaryota, Metazoa, Chordata, Actinopteri, Centrarchiformes, Centrarchidae. The record is from RefSeq and is a predicted model, not a curated record.
AUUGGAUGUUGGACUUCUGUUGGACAACCUUUGGUUUUUGGACUCUGUCAUCAGCCACUCAGUUUAUAGAAAAGCUGCACUGACCUUCUACACUAAAGUGAAAGCAGGAAACCACUGACGGGAAACUGCAACACCAGUACUGUAAAAAUCAUAAUUUAUGCACUAGACAGACAGUUAUGUGCUUUUAGAGGAAACAGAAACUCUCAGUUUUAUUGUGUAAAACUGUGUAAUACAGUUCGACAGUUAGAGGGCAAGAAAAAAUGUCCAGACUGUUAUCCAUCAGUUCUUCUUGUAGGAUAUUAUAUAUGCAUACCUGUGUAUUCUUCUUUUGUUAAUUAAGUGUAAAGUUACAAAAUUACAUCAGUUGUUAACUGUUACAGAAACAAAUGUUUAAAUGGCUUGAACUCAUUAAAUCAUGUGAUAACUUCA